This 361-nucleotide unclassified non-coding RNA is filed under the name uncultured Actinomycetes bacterium. RNAcentral describes it as "uncultured actinobacterium contains 16S-23S intergenic spacer region". Lineage: Bacteria; Bacillati; Actinomycetota; Actinomycetes. The record is from RNAcentral.
UCCGGUUUGUCACCGGCAGUCCCAUUAGAGUGCCCUUUCGUAGCAACUAAUGGCAAGGGUUGCGCUCGUUGCGGGACUUAACCCAACAUCUCACGACACGAGCUGACGACAGCCAUGCACCACCUGUAUACCGACCACAAGGGGGGCCGUAUCUCUACGGCUUUCCGGUUUAUGUCAAACCCAGGUAAGGUUCUUCGCGUCGCAUCGAAUUAAGCCGCAUGCUCCGCCGCUUGUGCGGGGCCCCGUCAAUUCCUUUGAGUUUUAGCCUUGCGGCCGUACUCCCCAGGCGGGGUGCUUAAUGCGUUAGCUUCGGCACGGACGGGGUCGAUAUCCGCCCACACCUAGCACCCAACGUUUACGG